GUGGGGAAUUUUGGACAAUGGGCGCAAGCCUGAUCCAGCAAUGCCGCGUGCAGGAAGAAGGCCUUCGGGUUGUAAACUGCUUUUGUACGGAACGAAACGGUCCUGGCUAAUACCCGGGGCUAAUGACGGUACCGUAAGAAUAAGCACCGGCUAACUACGUGCCAGCAGCCGCGGUAAUACGUAGGGUGCGAGCGUUAAUCGGAAUUACUGGGCGUAAAGCGUGCGCAGGCGGUGCUGUAAGACAGGCGUGAAAUCCCCGGGCUCAACCUGGGAAUUGCGCUUGUGACUGCAGUGCUGGAGUGCGGCAGAGGGGGAUGGAAUUCCGCGUGUAGCAGUGAAAUGCGUAGAUAUGCGGAGGAACACCGAUGGCGAAGGCAAUCCCCUGGGCCUGCACUGACGCUCAUGCACGAAAGCGUGGGGAGCAAACAGGAUUAGAUACCCGAGUAGUCC
RNAcentral lists this ribosomal RNA (450 nucleotides) under uncultured bacterium. RNAcentral's name for it is "partial 16S ribosomal RNA". It matches the Rfam family "Bacterial small subunit ribosomal RNA", at positions 354 to 796 of the family's 1533-position model. The record is from RNAcentral.